RNAcentral lists this non-coding RNA (167 nucleotides) under Clostridium grantii. RNAcentral describes it as "Lysine sequence". It matches the Rfam family "Lysine riboswitch aptamer". Rfam says of the family: Riboswitches are metabolite binding domains within certain messenger RNAs that serve as precision sensors for their corresponding targets. Allosteric rearrangement of mRNA structure is mediated by ligand binding, and this results in modulation of gene expression. RNAcentral also lists the same sequence under 1 other name. The record is from RNAcentral. Lineage: Bacteria; Bacillati; Bacillota; Clostridia; Eubacteriales; Clostridiaceae.
UACCAUGGUAGAGGCGCUAAUGUUAAAAGUAUUUUUAGGGAGUCGGCAGAUUAAGAUCUAAAAAGAAAGGACCAUUAGCCGAAGGGGUUAAGCUGCAAACUUAUUCUCUGGACUUGCAUAUAAUAUAUGUCUGUCUGUCACUAACUCAGUGGAGUGCUACAAGGUGC